AGAACGAACGCUGGCGGCAUGCCUAACACAUGCAAGUCGAACGAGACCUUCGGGUCUAGUGGCGCACGGGUGCGUAACGCGUGGGAAUCUGUCCUUGGGUUCGGAAUAACAGUUGGAAACGACUGCUAAUACCGGAUGAUGUCUUCGGACCAAAGAUUUAUCGCCCAGGGAUGAGCCCGCGUAGGAUUAGCUUGUUGGUGAGGUAAAGGCUCACCAAGGCGACGAUCCUUAGCUGGUCUGAGAGGAUGAUCAGCCACACUGGGACUGAGACACGGCCCAGACUCCUACGGGAGGCAGCAGUGGGGAAUAUUGGA
RNAcentral lists this ribosomal RNA (314 nucleotides) under uncultured soil bacterium. RNAcentral's name for it is "bacterial SSU rRNA". It matches the Rfam family "Bacterial small subunit ribosomal RNA", at positions 26 to 368 of the family's 1533-position model. The record is from RNAcentral.